GGCAAAGGAAGGGCAGGGCAGGCUUUAAGGACAGGGACAGGGCUGUCAGAGGCUGAGGCUAGGGAGGGGCAGGAAGGGGUGUGAGGCAGGGCGGAAGAGAGCAGGGCCCUGGGCAGGUGCUGAGCCAGGUCCUGCAGGUCACCCAGUCGCUUGAGUCCACGAAUGCUGGAGGCAGGCACUGGAGAGCCAGGGUGGUUCAGCCGCAGCUCCUCUGAGCAGGGAGUCAAACAGGUUUGGGUGACCCUUGUGAGCAAGGUCCCGGGGCAUCACUAAUUUCCACCCCCUUCUCUGGUAAUGACUCUGGUGCGGCCUGGCCCUGGCAGUCACAGCUCCUCUCUCUCCCUAUAGGGCUGAAACAGACACCAGCUCUCCAGGACCAGCUGCUCCAGGAAUCAACCUCUACCCUGAACCAGGUCCCUGAGGACCACCACGUGGCUGCAACACAGCAGGAGUUCACAGUCCAGAGGAGAAGCCCGAUGCUGAACAGAGAAUCACAUCCGUGAGCAACACAAAAGGCAAGGCAAACCCUGGGCAGAUGCCCCCGGGACUGUGUGUUAUGGGCCUACAGGAAGCCUCUCCCAAUGAAAAAGCAAUUUUUCAGCCAGAACCUCCACCAGUGUCUUUCAAACUGUCUCAAUCAAAAACCUCUGAAAGCCACUGGCCUAGAGUUAGAGGAAGAGUUAGCCAUGAGAAAUGGUGGUGACACAGGUUCCAAAAGAAGAAACAAUAGGAGCCUGGACCUGUGGCCUUCCCUGCCUCCACCUGGGCCUCAACCGUCACGACCACCUGGCCUUUGAGAAAUCAAAUGGCUCACGCUGUGUCUCAGAGCUGCAACGAUCCAACGCCCUCCAUCCUUCAGAGGCUGUCUGAGUCCGGGGACACAACUCCCACCCUCCUCUCCUGCCAGCCGCGGCCCGUGGCUGCUCUCUUCACUUCGUCCCGCUUCGCCCCGACUGUGGAUCUACCCGCUCCCUUCUCCCUCAGUCCCCAAAGCACCAGACUCACAGGCCUGCUGUGUGACCCACUUUUACCGACCUUUCGGGGAGAGUAGAGGGCAUUUGUGACUCAGCUCAGAGCAGGAAACACAUCUCACGUCAACUGUCAGACAGCGCUGCUCCGAAUCCCAUCACAGUGCUCCAGCAGGGGGCGUCCUCACCGGCCGCGGCCACAGCCACGGCUCAACCCGGCCUAGCUCCCAGACACCCUCCUUCCACCGCCUGUUUUCCACCGUCCCCGCCUGCUCUUUCAAGCCAGCAGCAAACAACACCCUAAUCCGUGUCUUUAUUAUUCAAAGACCUUAAGCACUCUUUCCCACCUCGUUCCCAUCUUGAUUAUUUCAGGGAAUGAAUUAGGGAUUCACCUUUACAAUCAAAAAAGUUCUCUCAAAGCCAGGCUACUGGAGUUCUAAUUCUGCCUUCCCACUUUUACUAGCUGUGAAAUCUCAGGAAAGUUACUUAACCUCUCUCUGUCUCAUUUUCCUCAUCUUUAAAAAACAGGAUGAUAAUAUUUAGCUCCUAAGAUGGUUGUGAGGAUUUAAGUGAGCUGAUAUAUCCAAGAAUGUCUAGAACAGCGCGUGGCAGAAUGGGCAUUGCAUAUGGGUUUAAUCUUGUAACUGCCAUGUUUCACCAAUUCUAAGGUGUAUCUCGUUUCUCAUCAUAAGAGCUCUUCCGCUCGUGUGGCAGCUGGGAGUGGCCGUCAUUGCCUGCGCAUACCUAAACUUGGUCAGCAGCCAAGUGUUUUGUGAGACCUAAGAAAGGAAGAGCCCCAUAAGUAAAUGGAACUGUUGUGUUGUUUUAUUACCGAGAAAAGGGCAGAAUGAUUGCUAGUCACACGUGAAGCAAGAAAACCCCGGCAAUAAAGCUUGCAGAAUGAGUGGCUGAGGCUUGAAAAUAAAUGGUGGAAACAAUAGUGGACAAUCUUUUAAAGAAUGGCACAUUGCCAAUGCUCCUGAUGGCACAGAAGGUGACACCAUGCAGAAAAUCAAGGCUCUGAGUCAAAGAGGGUUUCAGAAAAAUUGGACUCUGAAUGUGAAGAAAUCUGGGGACUAUUUUAGCCAAUUUGUUUUGCCUAUAAUUUCCUUUUAUGCAUGCAAAAGAGCAAUUCUGACUUUAAAGACUGAUAUCUAAAUAAAUCUAAAAUAUCUUUUUUGUGUGUGUGUCUGUGAUACAGUGUCUCGCCCUUUCACCCAGGCUGGAGUGCAGUAGUGCAAUCUCAGCUCACU
RNAcentral lists this long non-coding RNA (2221 nucleotides) under Homo sapiens (human). Its description in RNAcentral is "HSALNT0188844". The record is from RNAcentral. Lineage: Eukaryota; Metazoa; Chordata; Mammalia; Primates; Hominidae.